This 590-nucleotide ribosomal RNA is filed under the name Dreissenidae sp. 27VIII16_1_5_X4. RNAcentral describes it as "eukaryotic LSU rRNA". The stretch from base 418 to 590 matches the Rfam family "Eukaryotic large subunit ribosomal RNA", at positions 665 to 811 of the family's 3401-position model. RNAcentral also lists the same sequence under 1 other name. The record is from RNAcentral. Lineage: Eukaryota; Metazoa; Mollusca; Bivalvia; Myida; Dreissenidae.
GAGUCAAACGGGUGGAUCCGCAGAGUCCGCCCGGGGAAUUCAGCCCGGCAGGCGAGGCCGCGCGUCAGCCGAGAUUCGUCUCGGACCUGGCUGGCGCGCCGGCGCUGGCAGGCAGGGUGCACUUUCCCCGGCCAGCGGAGAGCCACGACCGGUUCGGUGGCGGUCAGGAGCCCGGCGGGGAGGUAGCUCGGUGGGUCUCGGCCCUCUGAGAACGUACAGCCCGCCGAGGUGGACACGCCGUCGGACCGAGGAUGCCGCCGCGGCCAUCGGGCCCGGGUCGUCCGGGAGCGUUCGACUUUGGCCAUGCUGCUCGCAGCGGGCCGAGACCGCGCGCCUGGUACGGACUCGGCGUCCCGGGGUCGCCUAGGGUCGGUGGCGAAUCGGUCGGCAACCCACCCGACCCGUCUUGAAACACGGACCAAGGAGUCUAGCAUGUGCGCGAGUCACGGGGUCUCUCGAAACCCAAGGGCGCAAUGAAAGUGAAGGCCGCCUCCGGCUGGCCCAGGCAGGAUCCCGACCCACGGGGAGGGCGCACUGCCGGCCCGUCUCGCUGGCAUCGACCAGGAGGCGGAGCAAGAGCGCACACGCUG